GCUGUCUAGCUCAGUUGGUUAGAGCAUGGUGCUUAUAAAACCAAGGUUGCAGGUUCGAUCUCUGCUAUGGGACAGCU
Molecule: non-coding RNA, 77 nt
Organism: Podarcis lilfordi (Lilford's wall lizard)
Lineage: Eukaryota; Metazoa; Chordata; Lepidosauria; Squamata; Lacertidae
Source: the annotation of a GenBank genome assembly